AGUCACAAAGCCAGGGGAAGAAAUGUGAUCUUAAUUCGGGAAGCCUGACCUGUCUGUGCUCAUAAUCACUACGCUAUACUGCCCCCUUGUGGCCAGAAUGAGUCAGUAGAAACAGCUGAAAGUGAUCACAGGCUGGAGGUGUCAUGUAUGCAAUGAGUACUGGCUUGGGAGUGGGAUUUUCCUAGAUUUCAGUACUCGCUGCUGCAUCGCAACUGGAGACUGAGAUAUUAACCAAACCAGCUUCCACACUCCAUCAAGGCCCACAAGCCGCUGGAGCUGGAUGGCAUGCUUGACAGAGUUGUUGCAGUUGUUGCUCCAGUCCCUUGGCACCAUCCAGACAUUGACCUAAGAAGAUAACACUGGGGAAUCUGGAGGAUGUCAUCAACACACCAUGCUCCGAUGAGAGCUGGGAAAGUCCGUCUUCCCAUCUCCUCCCCUUCUCAGGUUCAAGCCACUCCAGGGCUGACUCACAGAACCAACCUUCUCUCCAGUUGAUCCUUAUGACACAGGAACUUCUGAAGCCUGAAAAUGAUGCUGGAGGAAAAAUCAAGCAAUGACUUGGACCUUGAGAUUUCAUCAUGUUUGAAGGCUCUCUGCUUGGUAAUAUUUAUGAGACCAUUAUUCACAGACAGACAACCUUCUUUUAGGUUUUAUUAGACAAUAUUAAGUCCAGAUAAGAGGCCAACAGAGGAAUUUCAGAAUGAAACCUGAAUGCUGAGAGUAUUAUUACUGUUUCUUGAGAAGGAAGAGGAGAGAGGAAGGAAACAUUCAUUGCCACAUGCUAUACCUUGUGCUCGGUUAUUUCACAAAGAUGUCCUUUAUCCUUGAACAAGAUCGGGUACACAUUAUCAUCUUUGUACAUGUGUGAACAUGGACAAGAAAUAUAUUUGUUUCCUUGUUUGAGAUGAUUACCAACGGGUGCCAGAGGGGUCUAUAGGUGAUUUUAAUUAAAUUGCUUCAAAUU
Long non-coding RNA from Pongo pygmaeus (Bornean orangutan), 964 nucleotides. RefSeq lists it as uncharacterized. The record is from RefSeq and is a predicted model, not a curated record. Lineage: Eukaryota; Metazoa; Chordata; Mammalia; Primates; Hominidae. The transcript has 3 exons.